AAUAGAUACCCGGGUAGUCCACGCCGUAAACGAUGAGUGCUAAGUGUUAGAGGGGUUUCCGCCCUUUAGUGCUGCAGCUAACGCAUUAAGCACUCCGCCUGGGGGAGUACGGCCGCAAGGCUGAAACUCAAAGGAAUUGACGGGGGCCCGCACAAGCGGUGGAGCAUGUGGUUUAAUUCAAAGCAACGCGAAGAACCUUACCAGGUCUUGACAUCCUCUGACACUCCUAGAGAUAGGAUUUUCCCCUUCGGGGGGACAGAGUGACAGGUGGUGCAUGGUUGUCGUCAGCUCGUGUCGUGAGAUGUUGGGUUAAGUCCCGCAACGAGCGCAACCCUUGACCUUAGUUGCCAGCAUUCAGUUGGGCACUCUAAGGUGACUGCCGGUGACAAACCGGAGGAAGGUGGGGAUGACGUCAAAUCAUCAUGCCCCUUAUGACCUGGGCUACACACGUGCUACAAUGGAUGGUACAAAGGGCUGCAAGACCGCGAGGUUUAGCCAAUCCCGAUAAAACCAUUCUCAGUUCGGAUUGCAGGCUG
RNAcentral lists this ribosomal RNA (536 nucleotides) under uncultured bacterium. RNAcentral describes it as "bacterial SSU rRNA". It matches the Rfam family "Bacterial small subunit ribosomal RNA", at positions 777 to 1307 of the family's 1533-position model. The record is from RNAcentral.